Molecule: ribosomal RNA, 440 nt
Filed under: uncultured bacterium
Lineage: Bacteria
Description: partial 16S ribosomal RNA
Rfam family: Bacterial small subunit ribosomal RNA
Source: RNAcentral
CCUACGGGAGGCAGCAGUGGGGAAUAUUGCACAAUGGGGGAAACGCUGAUGCAGCGACGCCGCGUGAGUGAAGAAGUAUUUCGGUAUGUAAAGCUCUGUCAGCAGGGGAGAAAAUGACGGUACCUGACCAAGAAGCCCCGGCUGACUACGUUGCAACAGCCGCGGUAAUACGUAGGCCCCCGCCGUGAUCCGGAUUUACUGGGGGUAAAGGGAGCGUAGACGGCAGGGCAAGUCUGGAGUGAAAGGGGGGGGCUCAACCCCCGGACUGCUCUGGAAACUGGCAGGCUGGAGUGCAGGAGAGGUAAGUGGAAUUCGUUGUGUAGCGGUGAAAUGCGUAGAUAUGAGGAAGAACACCAGUGGCGAAGGCGGCUUACUGGACUGUAACUGACGCUGAGGCUCGAGAGCGUGGGGAGCAAACAGGAUUAGAUACCCCAGUAGUC